This 253-nucleotide ribosomal RNA is filed under the name uncultured bacterium. Its description in RNAcentral is "partial 16S ribosomal RNA". It matches the Rfam family "Bacterial small subunit ribosomal RNA", at positions 524 to 776 of the family's 1533-position model. The record is from RNAcentral.
UACGUAGGCCACAAACGUUAUCCGGAUUUAUUGGGCGUAAAGGGUCCGUAGGCGGAUCGAUAAGUAGAUUGGUAAAUACCGGGGCUCAACUCCGGGACUCUGAUCUAAACUGUCGGUCUAGAGCAAGGUAGAGGCAGAUGGAAUUUCUGGAGUAGGGGUUAAAUCCGUUGAUCCCAGAAGGAACACCAAAAGCGAAAGCAGUCUGCUGGAACUUCGCUGACGCUCAGGGACGAAAGCGUGGGGAGCAAACAGG